This is an RNA transcript of Myxocyprinus asiaticus (Chinese sucker), 1714 nucleotides long. It is a transcript of the gene named histidine triad nucleotide binding protein 3, with no coding region annotated. NCBI's taxonomy places the organism in Eukaryota, Metazoa, Chordata, Actinopteri, Cypriniformes, Catostomidae. The transcript is spliced from 6 exons. The record is from RefSeq and is a predicted model, not a curated record.
UUGAAGAUGGCAACCAGUGAAAAUUCACCGACAACCGAGGGCGAGAUCGGUCAAACCGAUCAGAUUGUUGAAUAUGACAAGAAAUGUAUUUUCUGUAAAAUCACAAACGGGGAAAUAGUAACUGAGCUCUUGCACACUGAUGAGGACAUAUCCUGUUUCAGAGAUAUACACCCUGGAGCUCCCCAUCACUAUCUGGUGGUACCAACAAAACAUGUGGGCAAUUGUAAAUCACUUGGCAAGGAGCAUGUUCCAUUAGUGGAGAAGAUGGUGGAGAUGGGGAAAGAGAUUCUUCAGAAGAACAAUGUCACUGAUUUCAGUGAUGUUAGGUUUGGGUUCCAUUGGCCUCCAUUUUGUUCUGUCACACACCUGCAUCUCCAUGUACUUGCACCCGCCACUCAGAUGGGCUUCUUUUCCCGCUUUAUCUAUAGGUUAAACUCCUAUUGGUUUAUCACGGCGGAUCAGUUACUCCAAAGGCUGAACUCAAUGAGUUAAAAGUACAUGAAGUUAGAGGAAGUCAAAUUACAUUUCAUGUUUGAGCUGCCCAUAUCCACGUUACUCAUACACAAGAGUCCAAGUCAAUCUAUUCAUGAUGUCAAAAGGACAGGCAGAAAUCUAGGGGUUGUGUUUAACGGUCAGUUGAACUUCUUGGACCACAUCACAAAGACAGCCCAAUCAUGCAGGUUUUCACUGAACAACAUUAGGAAGAUCAGACCUUUCCCAUCUGAGCAUGCUACACAACGUCUUGUCCAAGCUCUUGUCAAAUCUAGACUGGACUACUGCAGUGCUCUUCUGGCAGGACUUCCUGCAUGCACAGUCAAACCUCUGCAAUUGAUUCAGAACAUGGCAGCGCAUUUGGUUUUCUACGAGCCCAAGAGAGCACGUCACGCCUCUCUUCAUCGAAUUGCAUUGGCUGCCAAAGGUUGCUCGCAUCAAGUUUAAGGCAUUGAUGCUCGCUUACAGAACAGCUACUGGUUCUGUGCCCCCUAUCUACACUCACAACUUCGAGUCUAUGUGCCAUCCAAAAGGUUGUGAUCGGCGGGUGAACGACGCCUUGUGGUGCCAUCUCACCAAGGCAUAAAAUUGCUUUUUUGGACUCUCUCUUCCAAUGUUCCUUGCUGGUUGAACGACUCUACGAACUUCACCUGAGCAGCUGAUUCUCUAACUACUCUCAAGAAACAUUUAAAGAUGCAUCUCUUUUGUGAGCACUUGACCCAAUCCUACUAAUGCACUACCUGUCUUCUUUCUUCCUUUAAAUUAUUAUUAUUAUUUUUUUUAAUUAUUAUUCUUUCACCACUGUCUCUCACCUUCCUCCCUACUUGUACUUCUCUGAGCUAUUUGAAACUUUAUAUUGCACCAUUUCACAUGUAAUUGCCUUCUCAGGAAGAAUCACUUUUGCUGUAUUCCUCAUUUGUAAGUUGCACAAAAGCAUCCGCUAAAUGAAUAAAUGUAAUUAAAGUAAAUAAAAUCAUGUAACAGAAAUUAAAUUAUACUUUGUCAUUUAUUGAUAGAUUUUGGUCUUUAAGCUUUUGUACCUUAAAGAAAUAGUUUCACCCAAAAAGUUAAAAUUAUCUUAUCAUUUACUCACCCUCAUGCCAUCCCAGAUGUGUAUGACUUUCUUUCUUCUGCUGAACACAAAGAUGUUUAGAAGAAUAUUUUAGCUCUGUAGGUCCUCACAAUGCCACAUUUUUUUACUCAUAAGGGCAACAUGAAAGUA